AUCGUACACUUUUGCCUAACCGGUUACUCGGACAAUCGUUCGACCGAUUAACCGGUUAACCGGUAUAGUUCAGAUUGGGGUUUGAAAGCCUUAUCAAUAGUACCCUACACAUAGAUAUAAGAUGUAGUACGAGUGUCAAUUUGACAACCUUUCAUCCAAGUCAUAAAUUUACGCUUUUAAAAUUUAAUAUUGUCCUUUUGGCAUUAUACGGCUUGCUUUGAGGAUUCCUGGCGAAGUUUGAUCUUUAAUAAUCAGAUGCACCGUAUCAACUAUAGCGUCUGUACCAACUUAAGAUUGAAAAAUAAAAUAAAACUUCUAUAUCUCGUAGGAUUGAAUAUGUCUGAAACCGAU
RNAcentral lists this long non-coding RNA (351 nucleotides) under Mytilus galloprovincialis (Mediterranean mussel). The record is from RNAcentral. Lineage: Eukaryota; Metazoa; Mollusca; Bivalvia; Mytilida; Mytilidae.